AAUAAUUAAUUGAAUGUAAAAAAAGCAUGGGAUCUGAGACCGAGACAACACGCAAAUAGCAGAGACAGAUAGAAACAGAUAGAUUGAGAGGUGAACACCGACCGACCCGCCGACGUUCGGUGCUCCGCUCUUCACGGUUGUGGCCCCCACUCCCUCCGUAUUUUACGCUCUAAAGGACCUCAUGUCAAACAUAGAGGAUAACAAAGAACUUGGACAGAUGGACGUGGAUGCAUCUGAGGGGUCAGUUAAUAUGCCAUCGUCCCAGCAGCAGGAGGCAACUCUGAAGAAAAAAUAUGGAGGAAUUGUGCCAAAAAAACCACCACUUAUUUCUAAGGACCAUGAGCGUGCUUACUUUGAUUCCGCUGAUUGGGCAUUGGGAAAGCAAGGCGGUCAGAAGCCCAAGGGACCACUUGAGGCUCUUCGGCCUAAACUACAGCCAACACAGCAACAAACACGUUACCGGAAAUCUCCUUAUGCUCCUUCGGGUGAAGGUGGAAGUGUUCCAUCUGAGGAUGCACCUUCCAAUGAGUAAAAGCAACAAUAAGUCUUUCGACGAUGUGCUGAUUAUUGUUCUGGUAUACCUCAGUAGCCUGGCCUAGGUUCUGUAAAGGUUUGAGAUCAACGUUGUUUUGUGAAAAAUGGCGUACAGUGCGAUCCUUGUUUCUGUCCAUUAUGAUGUGUUUCUUCGCUGUUUAUGUUGCGUCUCAUUAUUGUUGUAUAUGUUGUGCUUUGUUUCUAUUGUUGAGGCUAUGCCAUUUGACACUAGAGACGAGUUCUUUCUUUUCGGCUUCCUAUUAUGCUAGCAAAUCACUAACAGUCUAUCAACUUUCAAUCCUCCCUGUUACAAGCCUCUCUCCUGUUUAUCAUAUCACGCCUCAUUCACCACCUCUUAAUCUCGCCCCUAUGGUUGCAACCUCACGGUUGCA
This is an RNA transcript of Trifolium pratense (red clover), 926 nucleotides long. RefSeq lists it as uncharacterized. Lineage: Eukaryota; Viridiplantae; Streptophyta; Magnoliopsida; Fabales; Fabaceae. The record is from RefSeq and is a predicted model, not a curated record. The transcript has 8 exons.